ACGGGUGAGUAACACGUGGGUGAUCUGCCUCGUACUCUGGGAUAAGCCUGGGAAACUGGGUCUAAUACCGGAUAUGACCACGCUUCGCAUGGGGUGUGGUGGAAAGAUUUAUCGGUGCGAGAUGGGCCCGCGGCCUAUCAGCUUGUUGGUGGGGUAACGGCCUACCAAGGCGACGACGGGUAGCCGACCUGAGAGGGUGAUCGGCCACACUGGGACUGAGACACGGCCCAGACUCCUACGGGAGGCAGCAGUGGGGAAUAUUGCACAAUGGGCGGAAGCCUGAUGCAGCGACGCCGCGUGCGGGAUGACGGCCUUCGGGUUGUAAACCGCUUUCGACUCCAACGAAGCGUGAGUGACGGUAGGAGUAGAAGAAGCACCGGCCAACUACGUGCCAGCAGCCGCGGUAAUACGUAGGGUGCGAGCGUUGUCCGGAAUUACUGGGCGUAAAGAGCUUGUAGGCGGUCUGUCGCGUC
Molecule: ribosomal RNA, 473 nt
Filed under: Nocardia otitidiscaviarum
Lineage: Bacteria; Bacillati; Actinomycetota; Actinomycetes; Mycobacteriales; Nocardiaceae
Description: bacterial SSU rRNA
Rfam family: Bacterial small subunit ribosomal RNA
Source: RNAcentral